RNAcentral lists this ribosomal RNA (1515 nucleotides) under metagenome. RNAcentral's name for it is "bacterial SSU rRNA". It matches the Rfam family "Bacterial small subunit ribosomal RNA". The record is from RNAcentral.
AGGGUUUGAUCCUGGCUCAGAACGAACGCUGGCGGCGUGGCUAACCCAUGCAAGUCGAGCGCGAACGUUUCCUUCGGGAGAUUAUUAGCGCGGCGGAAGGGUGAGUAAUGACUGGGUAACGUACCCCAAGCUUGAGGAUAGACCACCGAAAGGUGGCGUAAUACUCGAUAACACCACAUGAAGGCAUCUUCGAGUGGUCAAAGGCGGGGACUCCUUCGGGAGCCUGCUGGCUCGGGAGCGGCCCAUUUUCCAUCAGCUUGUUGGUAGGGUAAUGGCCUACCAAGGCAACGACGGAUAGCCGGACUGAGAGGUCGACCGGCCACAUUGGGACUGAGACACUGCCCAGACUCCUACGGGAGGCUGCAGGGACGAAUACUUCGCAAUGGGCGAAAGCCUGACGAAGCGACGCCGCGUGCGGGAAGAAGCUCUUCGGGGUGUAAACCGCUGUCAGGGACUACCAAGCAAAUGCGCCUAAUAUGCGCACGCGUUGAGGAAUCCCAAAGGAAGCCACGGCUAACUCCGUGCCAGCAGCCGCGGUAACACGGAGGUGGCAAGCGUUGUUCGGAAUCACUGGGCUUAAAGAGCACGUAGGCUGUUUGUCAAGCGUCUUGUGAAAUCCCUCGGCUCAACCGAGGAAUUGCUCGGCGAACUGGCAGACUUGAGGCAAGUAGAGGCGCGCGGAACUCUUGGUGGAGCGGUGAAAUGUGUAGAUAUCAAGAGGAACGCCGGUGGCGAAAGCGGCGCGCUGGGCUUGAUCUGACGCUGAGGUGCGAAAGCUAGGGUAGCGAACGGGAUUAGAUACCCCGGUAGUCCUAGCCGUAAACGAUGUCCACUAGGUUGGGGAUUCUUUGACGAAGUCCCAGCCGAAGCAAAAGUGAUAAGUGGACCGCCUGGGGAGUACGGUCGCAAGGCUAAAACUCAAAGGAAUUGACGGGGGCUCACACAAGCGGUGGAGCAUGUUGCUUAAUUCGAUUCAACGCGAAGAACCUUAUCCUGGGCUUGAAACGCAUGGAUACGGCUCCCGAAAGGGAUGUUCGUUGCCCUUCGGGGUGAAACAUGUACAGGUGCUGCAUGGCUGUCGUCAGCUCGUGUCGUGAGAUGUUGGGUUAAGUCCCGUAACGAGCGAAACCCUUGUCGUUAGUUGCCAGCGGGUCAUGCCGGGGACUCUAGCGAGACUGCCGGUGUUAAACCGGAGGAAGGUGGGGAUGACGUCAAGUCCUCAUGGCCUUUAUGCCCAGGGCUGCAAACGUGCUACAAUGGUUGGGACAAAACGACGCAAGACCGCGAGGUGGAGCAAAUCGCCAAACCCAGCCCCGGUUCGGAUUGGAGUCUGCAACUCGACUCCAUGAAGUCGGAAUCGCUAGUAAUCGCGUAUCAGCCACGACGCGGUGAAUGUGUUCCUGAGCCUUGUACACACCGCCCGUCAAGUCAUGGAAGCCGGUAGCACCCGAAGUCGCCUCGCUACAGAGGUGCCGAAGGUGAGAUUGGUGACUGGGACUAAGUCGUAACAAGGUA